AUACGAACUGUGCAAACGUUAUUCGGAAUCACUGGGCUUAAAGGGUGCGUAGGCGGUUCGACAAGUCAGGUGUGAAAUCUCUCGGCUUAACCGAGAAACUGCGCUUGAAACUGUCGAACUUGAGAGCGAUAGGGGUGAGCGGAACUGCUGGUGGAGCGGUGAAAUGUGUUGAGAUCAGCAGGAACGCCGGUGGCGAAAGCGGCUCACUGGGUCUUUUCUGACGCUGAGGCACGAAAGCUAGGGUAGCGAACGGGAUUAGAAACCCCAGUAGUCC
RNAcentral lists this ribosomal RNA (274 nucleotides) under uncultured bacterium. RNAcentral describes it as "partial 16S ribosomal RNA". It matches the Rfam family "Bacterial small subunit ribosomal RNA", at positions 523 to 796 of the family's 1533-position model. The record is from RNAcentral.